UAUGAUCAGAACCUACAGGGAAGGGAUCAACAAAAAAGCCGUAAGCUGUAUACAGAAACAAAGAUGAACACCCAUAAGCAUAAACUGUUUCGUAUGAAAGGCACAUCGGGUAGUACCAUUUGAAUUUUCCGGUACAUAUGCACCAUAAACAUGUGUGAGAUUACUCGCCGCCGGCAACGAAGCAACUUGAUGCACACCCACCCGUAGCAAACUUGUUCCAUCUGAUUGUUCUUGCCUGGAUCAAUACAAAGCCAAUGAUAUAUAGGCAACAAAGUAUGCAGGCAACAUUCUCAGCAUUGAGUAGCUAUAUCGUCAACAUUUACCUUUUCCCUUUUAUCCUCAUCUACCUAAAUACCCAGAUAGAACUCUGCUUGCCCAACAGCUCCACAUGCUCUGACUUCUUCUGUCUUUUUAGCUUCUCCUUAUUCCUCCAGCUCUCGGCUUCUCAACUUCUAAGAUCUUUCUUUCAUCUGUACA
RNAcentral lists this long non-coding RNA (477 nucleotides) under Triticum aestivum (bread wheat). Its description in RNAcentral is "long non-coding RNA (TAES_LNC002602)". The record is from RNAcentral. Lineage: Eukaryota; Viridiplantae; Streptophyta; Magnoliopsida; Poales; Poaceae.